Molecule: small nucleolar RNA, 140 nt
Organism: Centropristis striata (black sea bass)
Lineage: Eukaryota; Metazoa; Chordata; Actinopteri; Perciformes; Serranidae
Product: small nucleolar RNA U109
Exons: 1
Source: RefSeq, a predicted model, not a curated record
GGGCAUGUCAGACCGCUGUCUCCCUCUCAAGCCAUAGGGAGUGACGGUGUCCUAAAAACAUGCUAGAGUGACACACAGGAGUCCACAGGGCCAUCGAUCUUACAGAGUUGAUCAAUAGGUAGUAUCGGACUCCCACAAAG